GUGCGCCCGUUUCAGCAGCACAUAUACUAAAACUGGAACAAUAUAGAGAAGAUUUGUAUGGCCCCUGUGCAAAGCUUAGUUAAAUACAGUGUAAAACUUAAGGCUUAA
Small nuclear RNA from Phyllostomus discolor (pale spear-nosed bat), 108 nucleotides. The record is from RefSeq and is a predicted model, not a curated record. Lineage: Eukaryota; Metazoa; Chordata; Mammalia; Chiroptera; Phyllostomidae.